UUGACUUAUGCUUGUUUUAAAUGUACUGCAGUAAUAUGCCAUAAUCAUUUUCCCUUUACGUGUAGGUCAAAUUCACAGUGUUUUAAAUAUUUUGAAUGUUGGUGGUUGCUGUCAGUGAUUAUCCAUAUUACUGGAACAUUAUGCAGGUGAUGGACACAAUUGAAUUUACUAUAGCAAUACAAGCGCCUUUUUCCAGGAAUGACCACCUGAACCCUUGCUGUAAAACUUAAAAUGAGAAACUGAAGGUCAUUACCUAAGACUCACUAUUAUGUAUUUUAUUUUACGUAUAAUGUUGUAUUCUCCUGUAUAUAUUAGUACCCUUUGUGAACAAGUAAUUCAUUUCCUAGACAAUAAGAUCAUAACCAGGAAGAGGACUGAAAUAUAAAUGAAAAUUGUUUAAAGGUAAUUGUCCGACAGGCAUUGCACAUUUUUAAACACUUAGCUGCGGAAGCAAAGAACCACCUGCCGCACCAGAGGUGUGUGUCUAACCCUCUGAGGUCGACGGCAUCGUCAGCAAUGCCUGGUAUCUUUCUCGUGUAUUUCAGUUUAUAACUCACUGAAAUCUUAUUGUAGAAUCAAGAAAAAAUGCUGAUUAAAUCCGUAAUCUGUCGUCUUUUCAAAACGUCCGUUGUUGGAAGUAUUAACGUGUUUAAAAUUAAGUUAAAUAGUCAAAUAAGUAAACCAUGUCACCUUACUUUGGUUUACCUGUAUCUGAGGCGAGUAUAUGACUACAAAACAAUUGUUUUAUUUUAAUUUGCAUUUCACAUAAUAUAUAUUGGAAAAUGGCUUAAUAAUUUGGAAUGAAUUUGCUGGAAAUAAGAUUUUACUUAAAAUAAUGACUUUUGCAGUAAAUCAUAUGUAUAAUUUACAUUAAAUGGUACAAGGGAGGUGCAUUUCCCAAAAGCCUAUUUGCUAAUUCCAUUAGCACUUUCAUUGUAGCCUGUGAAGGGGCCGCACACACAUAUCAACCUCACUGCUAUCGCAUAUAAUGGAGAGAAAUGCGUUCUGAUGCUGGACUGUAAGGUACACACAUGAUGCCUACUUACAGAGAACAUGGAAACACACCAGUAACUGGCACAGAUCAAGCUACCCACAGUACUUGCAUGAACCAAAGUAUUUACAAAAACUAAAUGCAAACAGGGCUAUGUACAUGGCUCACGAGCAUGUUGGAUAUGCUAAUAGGCUUUGCUGUACAGAGCCGUUUUGCCAGCGCUACACUAUUAUGCACCCAAAAACCUUGGAAAUGCAAAACGUGUGAUGUGUACCUUUGUACAGUACAGUAUAUACCAGAUGGGAACUAUUUAUUGUUCUAAUGUUUAUUCAUUGUUUUGUGUUAUCCGAGUAGUAUAAUGUGAUUUGCACUUUUUAUUCAUCAACAUUUAAUACAUUCAUGUUAUACACUGUAAAAAGCCUAUUAAUGUCUCUUCUUAAUAUCCACACUGAUUUUUCAAAGUGUUGGGUGUAGGGGGGCAGUGACAAUGACAUUCCAGACUGAUGGACCAUUUACAGUAUGCAAGCUAUUAGAGAUGUGAUGACAUCUGUCUCAUCAGUAUGCAUUAUGUAGGCCACUGACAAAAAAAAUAUAACUUCAAAGUUCUAAUGCUUAUUAAUCAAACCACAUGAAAUUUCUGAAGCUCUCAUUCACCUAUGUGUAGCUAACCCCUAUGUCUAUUAACUUCGAAGCUCAAAGUCUUAGCUAGAAAUGUUUGCAAUUAGAUUUUUUUUCUUUUUUAACAAUUUCUCGGCAUCUCUGAAAAUAGUUUUUUGAAAAGUGCAUGUUUAACCCUCUGGAGUCGAAGAUGAUGCCGUGUAUCUUUCUCGUGUAUUUCAAUUCAUAACUCGCUGAAAUCGUAUUGUAGAAACAUGAAAAAAACACUGACUAAAUCCGUAACCUGUCUUCUUUUCAAAACGUCAGUCGUUGGAAGUAUUAAAGUUUUUAAAAUUAGGUGAAAUCGGCUAAAAAGUACAUCAUUUCACCUUUCUUUGUUUUACUUGCAUCGGGGGCGUGUAACGCCGCCCUCACCUGAAGAUUGCUAUUCGCAUUUUAAAUAGCCGCAUUUCCACAUAUUCAAAUCGCAUUCGCAUGGCAAUUUAAUGAACAACGCAACGGUGAAACACGAUCCAGAUACAUCCCCAUCAGCACCAUAAAAUUGGUGGGAGGUGUGACCAGGUGUGAAUGGCUCAUGCAUACACAUGAAAGUUGCUAUAUAUUCAAUGAAAAGGGUCAGAAAAUAGUGACAUGAGUUUUUCUUAUUUAUUUAUCCAACUGAAUGUUGCAACUACACCAUUUAGUUAUCUUCAUGUAGCCAAGACUUUGGUGAUCAGAUAUCUGGGAUCAAAACAAACUUCCACCAUUGCUUACUAUGUACUUUUAUAAUGUUUCUGCAAGUGUUCCAAACUACAUUUUGCAAGGUCUAUACUUUCACGUCAAAUUGCAAACUUCACAUGAAUUUGACAUAUUUACAAAGUACACUAAGAUUGAGAUGAAUUUAAUGCCAAAACAAAUAUAUAAGAAAUAAUUUAUUUGCCAUGAAUUAAGUCUAUGAUAUUAAAUUUGUGUGACCGUGCCCCAUUCAGUGAAAGUGACUCCGUAGACCCAAUAAGGUUAAAGAAGAAUUAGCAACAGGAUAAAAUUUUAUUUUAGACACUGCUCACUGGUGGGUUGUGCUAUUUUUAGAAUAGGUCCUCGGGCUACUCAUGUGGUCCUUGGGGGCACUUUGGUGCCCAUAGGCACCAUGUUGGUGACCCCUGCUGUAUAACAUAAAAUUAGUCAGUAUCUCACGUGUACCUAAAUUUCUGUAGCAGCAGCACAAUCAGUUAGUUUUGAUUCUUGUCACAUGGCAUACACAUGGUGAAAUAUAUCCGCUUGUCUUCAGACUUCUCUUGAGUUUUAUUAAAGGUCUUGUGCGACGUAAGUACAAUGGUACGUUGCACAAUAGGACGUAAGUUGAUGACUGACUGUACUUGCCUUUAUGGAUGAAUGUACUUCCCUUUACAAUUCUAUAAACAAGCAAAUAUGCCCAAUCAGUGGAGAGAGGCAGUUCCCAGGUUACGAACGAGAUCCAUUUCUAAGUCUAUCUUUAGGGUGAAUUUGCAGUUAAGUCUGAACCUGCUACGUACAGUAUGGUUCAUACAUAUAGUGUCAGUUAGUCAAAUGUUUGUUUUUAGGAUAUAGUAUAUACUUUACUUUUUUAUGCAUGUAAAACACUUAAAUGCUUCCAGAUACACUAAAACAGCUUACACAUAAUAUAAUAAUGUUAACAUAACAUGAUAAUACAGUAAAAACAAGUCACUACAUAUGGAAUUGUACUGAAAAGAGAGCGAGAACCUCUAUAUGUGUAUUUGUGUAGGUAUACGGUUCUUAAGCCAGAAAGAGGGAUGCUCAGAAGGUUAUGGCAAGGAAGGGAUUGAGAUUUGAACUCAGGGUUAAUCCCUCAGGACCUCCCAAAGAUAACUCACAUGGCAGUGGGACAGUGGUUGUGGAGCACCUUUAGGGACCAUUGCAGAUCCAAGAUCCCCCACUAAGUCUGAGGUCGCAAAACCCCAGUUACCCUGGGCUGCUCUGAAGAGGCAUUGUAGGGUUCUUGGUGAUGGAGAGGCUACGUACUGACAACAGAAGACUUGUAUAUUGCUCUCUGGACCCCAGCUGGGGUAGUCAGCAGCAGAAGUUAGGGAGCACUAUGGCAUGCAUCCCUACAUGCAAUUGCUCACAAUAACAUGAUGACGACAUAGCCAGCCAGCCCAUAGUUGGCAAAAAUCAAGCUUAACCAGCUGGUGGAACACAUCUUAAGUGCCCUCCCAGAAACGCAGUUUCCAUUAUUCUCUAAAAGAAAGAGCUCUUCCAUAGUAUACUAGUGUCCAAAAUUGUUGGAACACUUCCAAUUUUUAGAGAUUGCAGAAUUUUUUUCCAGUUACAUCAGUUAGCAUACAUUGGACAAUUAAGUAUUUGUAAAAAUUCCAAAAUUGUUUAUAAACACUGCUGCCGAUAGUUGUGUAGCAAUUUUUAAAACAUAAUGCCAAAAAAUGCUAGGUGUUUAUCCAAUACCUUCCAAAAAUCCUUGGUCUGUCCUGGAAUGAUUGAACCCAUACUGAGAUGCUUUCCACAACUAAUUUCAUUUCUAUGGAACAUGCAGUGGCUAAAAAAACACCUUUGCUGGACAGGGCAAAAUAUCUGCAUUUCUGACCACCACCUACUCCAUCUAGUCCUGUACAGGCAACUCAGUAAUGCAAAACGGGUUGCUGACAAAGAAAGAGGCACUGUAAGGACUGUAUGAAAAGACCUGAAAAGUUGCAACAAAGAUCACUCUCAACCUCUGGAACUGCCUUGCAAGUUACCUGUGCCAGGGUGACUGAACAAAUUCAAUACAACAUCCCACUGCAGAGAAGCAAAAGACAUAUCCAAUGACACCAGAAGGUAGCUGGUAUUACCCCAAUAUUUGGACGACUUUGCCCCAUCAGUGGGUAAGUGUGCGGCUCAUGCAUAGGCCGCCACAGUCAAUUGCAGUGGCAUCAGCAUCAGUGGCUCCGAACCCUCUGCAGGUGACAGUGGGUAGGAGGAAGUUGUCAUCAGACACAAUGGACAGCCUAAAGAGAGAAGUAUACAGUACUGUAAAAAAUCAGUUAUUAACCAGUUUAGAUAGAAAAACAAAGAAAAAAAGAUCAUGAUUAAAGGUUAACUACUCUCCUUCUCUUGAUGCCUUGUAAGUAGCAGAAGAACCAGUGUAUUUAACUCAGAGUAUUAAUAUAAUAGGUAGAAAUAUAAAAAUGAAUUGGUUAAAAAUCGAUGUAAAUAUAUGACGAUUUAAACCGGCUGAUGUGGAAAAUUAAUUGGUACUUAAGUAAAGUACCGUGAUGUACUCCUAAACAGAAAAACCUGGUGUAAUAUUACAUUUGAUUUUACUGCGUAUGUACUGCGUCACUGCGUAUGUACGUCGACGUCGAACGUUUUUGGUUUUGACUGACCACGAGAUGGUGAGCAAAUUUGAAAUUGAAGACACACUCCCCAAUCUUAAAUCGGCGGUGUGGCAGCAUUUUAGCUUUCUGGUAAUCCCAAACGAAAGCAGCGAGAAAAGCAGAGAUGACAAAAACUGUGUGCAGACAUUUUAAAAGGCUGAUAACAUACACAAAUAGCACAACGAACAUGCUUCAGCAUGUCCACCGGCAUCACAGUGAGCUCAAUUCACCACCGCCAGAGCGAAGAUUAUUAAAAGGGCAAACCAUGCUAAGAAGCUGCACAUGCAAGCCUUAGUUUAUUUGGUAAGGCUUUAUAUUAAGUGCACCUUCAUAAUGCAUUCAUAGAACAUUCAUAAGCAGCAUGCAAGUACACUUUAACAUCCUAACAUCCCUUAAUGGUUUUAAUAUACAUUUAUAACAAACAUUAAAUGAUUAUUCAAUUAUGUUUGCUGUUAUAUAAUCACUGUUAUUGAUGUGUAUUACAGCUGUUAAUGGAUGUUAGGAUGUAAAGGUAUACAUGCAUGAUGUUUAUGAAUGCUUAAUGAAUACAUUAUGAAGGUGUGCUGAAAGUUGUAUGAAUGCAAUAUAAAAGCAUUAUGAAGGUGCAGUUAAUGUAAAGUGUUACCGUUAGAUUUUUAAAAAAUUUGAUUUCAGAUAUUUUUUAAAACAGUACUUCAUUCAAUUUCAGUUGCACUGUUAAGAGGAGGACACAUUUUGCACAGUUUAGAAAGAUAAAGGAAUAUUUUUGAACAAAUUUGUCUGCAGCUCAUUUUGUUAAAAAAAAAAAAAUCAUGAAUAUAGUGAAUCAUAUCGAAUCAUGAGCUGAGUCUAUCGUUACAUCCCUAAUAAUAGGCUUCAUGACAAUGAUUUCAAAAGGUCAAAAAUAAGUGCCACCCUAACAAACGCACACACUGGCCUGCCAGUCAGCAUAGAAUAAGCCCAGAUUUUAGCCUAAACAUUUUCACAGUCACUUAUUUAAUGGAGAUUCUAAUAUAGCAGGCAGACAACUUUAUGGGUUUAAUAAUGAGUGUAUUUGGCAGCUACAAGGACAAAAGAUAUUUAAAAGCUCUCCAUAUUUAUGGUAAUUUAAUAAACAUGAAUAGACAAUGCAGAGGUAGUUUUAUUAAAAUAAUAAAAACACAAUGCAUCAAUUUAAAAUAUUGACAUUAUUUCAUCAUUGACGCCAUCGACUAAUCUCAGCAGCCCUACUUCACAAGGUAUUGAUUAGUCGAACAAGGUGUGUUAGUGGUCAAGUGAAGAAAAACAUGAGUAUACAGGAUGGUAACAGAUUUGAGGGAAGUGUGUUAAGAUGACACAAUUUUACAAACACAAAUUCACAGUUUUACACUAAUAUGAACAAAAGGUUUUCUGGGGCAAUUUAAGGUUUUCUGGAUCUGUUUUUCAUUCCGGUGCAGGUAUUUCGUCCUUUUGAAAAAGUAUUACGUUUAAUAAACAUAAAUCUAAUAUUAAUUGCAUUAAAUUGUGAAUUUGCUUCUAAAAAUAAACUUAAAUAACUUGAUUACUAAAUUGAUGAAUAAUACUGAUAUUUCAUAUAGAAAAACUGGAGAUGAUAAAAUAAGAAAAUCAUGCUAAAACAAUAGAAAAAUCUAAACUGCCCAAAAGGUUCACAAACUAUCAAGCAGCACUGUAUACAUAAAGUAAAUGAAUAUGAAACCUGGGUUGGGGGGUGAGAUUACAUUGACACACACUGUAAAAGCAAACACUGAUGGUUUGCUUCAAAUGGGAGCUGCAGAGUGGCUAGUAGGAGUAAAUAAUACAUUAUGUGUAUAUAUGUGUGUGAGUGUGUAUACACACACACAAAAUAUAGUGCAAUAAAGUCAGUGUGAAGUUCAUAUCCGUGGGGAGGGGGGCAUGGGGAAGAAGCUGUUAGUCUUGUAGAACUGACUUGAGUACUUGGGUACCUUCUGCCAGAUGGGAGGGUGGGAGGCAUCCUCUGCAGUGCUGGAGGCUCUCAUAGUGUCAAAAGAAAAAAAGGUUCUCAUAGUGUCAAAAAACAUAAUAAAAAAAUCCAAAGAUU
Brienomyrus brachyistius is the source of this 6991-nucleotide long non-coding RNA. RefSeq lists it as uncharacterized. The record is from RefSeq and is a predicted model, not a curated record. Lineage: Eukaryota; Metazoa; Chordata; Actinopteri; Osteoglossiformes; Mormyridae. The transcript has 2 exons.